GUGAAAUUGAACUCGCUGUGAAGAUGCAGUGUACCCGCGGCAAGACGGAAAGACCCCGUGAACCUUUACUAUAGCUUGACACUGAACAUUGAGCCUUGAUGUGUAGGAUAGGUGGGAGGCUUUGAAGCGUGGACGCCAGUCUGCGUGGAGCCGACCUUGAAAUACCACCCUUUAAUGUUUGAUGUUCUAACGUGGAUCCGUAAUCCGGGUUGCGGACAGUGUCUGGUGGGUAGUUUGACUGGGGCGGUCUCCUCCUAAAGAGUAACGGAGGAGCACGAAGGUUGGCUAAUCCUGGUCGGACAUCAGGAGGUUAGUGCAAUGGCAUAAGCCAGCUUGACUGCGAGCGUGACGGCGCGAGCAGGUGCGAAAGCAGGUCAUAGUGAUCCGGUGGUUCUGAAUGGAAGGGCCAUCGCUCAACGGAUAAAAGGUACUCCGGGGAUAACAGGCUGAUACCGCCCAAGAGUUCAUAUCGACGGCGGUGUUUGGCACCUCGAUGUCGGCUCAUCACAUCCUGGGGCUGAAGUAGGUCCCAAGGGUAUGGCUGUUCGCCAUUUAAAGUGGUACGCGAGCUGGGUUUAGAACGUCGUGAGACAGUUCGGUCCCUAUCUGCCGUGGGCGCUGGAGAACUGAGGGGGGCUGCUCCUAGUACGAGAGGACCGGAGUGGACGCAUCACUGGUGUUCGGGUUGUCAUGCCAAUGGCACUGCCCGGUAGCUAAAUGCGGAAGAGAUAAGUGCUGAAAGCAUCUAAGCACGAAACUUGCCCCGA
Molecule: ribosomal RNA, 767 nt
Filed under: Salmonella enterica subsp. enterica serovar Infantis
Lineage: Bacteria; Pseudomonadati; Pseudomonadota; Gammaproteobacteria; Enterobacterales; Enterobacteriaceae
Description: partial 23S ribosomal RNA
Rfam family: Bacterial large subunit ribosomal RNA
Source: RNAcentral